Molecule: long non-coding RNA, 896 nt
Organism: Xiphophorus hellerii (green swordtail)
Lineage: Eukaryota; Metazoa; Chordata; Actinopteri; Cyprinodontiformes; Poeciliidae
Exons: 2
Source: RefSeq, a predicted model, not a curated record
CAACGGUUACUGGGUCAAGACACAGGAGAGGCUUAAUUAUUAGAAUGAGUCAUUUUUGAUUGAGAAAAACCAUGAAAGGUCAUGGUCUGGAAACUAAAAAACAUCUUGCAAAGGGACACUCAGAAAGCCAUCAACAACAUCGGUUCCCUUUCUUUCUGUCAGACUCUCCAAGGGUGACAUCUGGCCGAGGCUUGCAGUCGGCAUGCGAAGGGUUACAGCUGCAAUCGUUUUCUCUGGCUUGGCCUGAGCCCAGAGGCUUAAUAAAGGGAAUUAAUGGAGUGCACUAUCUGUCAGAUUCCUAAACACAGCUGGAGCGGAUGUUCAUCGCCCCCAAGCAGCCCGAAGAACUUACUAUCCUACUUGAACAACAUAAGCCCCUUCUUUCUUCCCCCAUAUUGUCCCCUGGGUGCUGACUCUGCAAAGGAACCCCAGCUGAUUGUGAAAGCUGUUUAUGUAUCAUCACUGACUAUAAUUACACAAUGUGGGAUAACAAACAGAGAGAGUGGAAGGGGGAAGGGGGGGCAACUGUUAUGAGCGUAUCAAAAUACAGUGAACUUUUUGGUCAUGCAUGGUAACAGCUGCGGUAAUGAUGUGCAAGCGGUACAAAUAAUCAAUGUAAAUGUGGUGAACUAAUAAUACGUGCCGCACACUCAUGAGCACGUGGCCAGUGAGUCCUGCGGCAUUUAACACGAAUGGACCCAGUCUAAGACAAUACUGCAGAGAACCCACACAGGCAGGCCAUCCACUCAAGGUUCCAUAUGUUUUAGACAUGUUUAAAUAACUAGAAAGUAUGCUAAAUGCUUGACUUUAAAGUCGGAUAACUUGAGAAGCCUAAUGUAAAAGGCUAUAUGUUCUACCGAACUGCUUUUCAUAACAAAGUAAAGCUUUUAAGCCUA